AGCGAACGCUGGCGGCAGGCUUAACACAUGCAAGUCGAGCGGGCGUAGCAAUACGUCAGCGGCAGACGGGUGAGUAACGCGUGGGAACGUACCUUUUGGUUCGGAACAACCCAGGGAAACUUGGGCUAAUACCGGAUAAGCCCUUACGGGGAAAGAUUUAUCGCCAAAGAUCGGCCCGCGUCUGAUUAGCUAGUUGGUGAGGUAACGGCUCACCAAGGCGACGAUCAGUAGCUGGUCUGAGAGGAUGAUCAGCCACAUUGGGACUGAGACACGGCCCAAACUCCUACGGGAGGCAGCAGUGGGGAAUUUGGACAAUGGGCGCAAGCCUGAUCCAGCCAUGCCGCGUGCGGGAAGAAGGCCUCGGUUG
This 367-nucleotide ribosomal RNA is filed under the name uncultured bacterium. RNAcentral's name for it is "bacterial SSU rRNA". It matches the Rfam family "Bacterial small subunit ribosomal RNA", at positions 29 to 425 of the family's 1533-position model. The record is from RNAcentral.